UACGUAGGGCGCAAGCGUUGUCCGGAAUUAUUGGGCGUAAAGCGCUUGUAGGCGGCUUGUUAAGUUCCGUGUGAAAUCCCCAGGCUUAACCUGGGAAGUGCGCGGAAAACUGGCGAGCUUGAGUGCCGGAGAGGGUCGCGGAAUUCCCGGUGUAGAGGUGAAAUGCGCAGAUAUCAGGAGGAACACCAAUGGCGAAGGCAGCUCGCUGGGACGUGACUGACGCUGAGACGCGAAAGCGUGGGGAGCAAACAGG
This 253-nucleotide ribosomal RNA is filed under the name uncultured bacterium. Its description in RNAcentral is "partial 16S ribosomal RNA". It matches the Rfam family "Bacterial small subunit ribosomal RNA", at positions 524 to 776 of the family's 1533-position model. The record is from RNAcentral.